Molecule: ribosomal RNA, 720 nt
Filed under: Pseudomonas sp.
Lineage: Bacteria; Pseudomonadati; Pseudomonadota; Gammaproteobacteria; Pseudomonadales; Pseudomonadaceae
Description: bacterial SSU rRNA
Rfam family: Bacterial small subunit ribosomal RNA
Source: RNAcentral
CAAGUCGAGCGGUAGAGAGAAGCUUGCUUCUCUUGAGAGCGGCGGACGGGUGAGUAAUGCCUAGGAAUCUGCCUGGUAGUGGGGGAUAACGCUCGGAAACGGACGCUAAUACCGCAUACGUCCUACGGGAGAAAGCAGGGGACCUUCGGGCCUUGCGCUAUCAGAUGAGCCUAGGUCGGAUUAGCUAGUUGGUGGGGUAAUGGCUCACCAAGGCGACGAUCCGUAACUGGUCUGAGAGGAUGAUCAGUCACACUGGAACUGAGACACGGUCCAGACUCCUACGGGAGGCAGCAGUGGGGAAUAUUGGACAAUGGGCGAAAGCCUGAUCCAGCCAUGCCGCGUGUGUGAAGAAGGUCUUCGGAUUGUAAAGCACUUUAAGUUGGGAGGAAGGGCAGUAACCUAAUACGUUGCUGUCUUGACGUUACCGACAGAAUAAGCACCGGCUAACUCUGUGCCAGCAGCCGCGGUAAUACAGAGGGUGCAAGCGUUAAUCGGAAUUACUGGGCGUAAAGCGCGCGUAGGUGGUUUGUUAAGUUGGAUGUGAAAUCCCCGGGCUCAACCUGGGAACUGCAUUCAAAACUGACAAGCUAGAGUAUGGUAGAGGGUGGUGGAAUUUCCUGUGUAGCGGUGAAAUGCGUAGAUAUAGGAAGGAACACCAGUGGCGAAGGCGACCACCUGGACUGAUACUGACACUGAGGUGCGAAAGCGUGGGGAGCAAAC